This 274-nucleotide ribosomal RNA is filed under the name uncultured bacterium. RNAcentral describes it as "partial 16S ribosomal RNA". It matches the Rfam family "Bacterial small subunit ribosomal RNA", at positions 523 to 796 of the family's 1533-position model. The record is from RNAcentral.
AUACGGAGGGUCCAAGCGUUAAUCGGAAUUACUGGGCGUAAAGCGUACGUAGGUGGCUUGAUUAGUCGGAUGUGAAAGCCCUGGGCUCAACCUGGGAACUGCAUUCGAUACUGUCAGGCUAGAGUAUAGUAGAGGGAAGUGGAAUUCCGGGUGUAGCGGUGAAAUGCGUAGAUAUCCGGAGGAACACCAGUGGCGAAGGCGGCUUCCUGGACUAAUACUGACACUGAGGUACGAAAGCGUGGGGAGCAAACAGGAUUAGAAACCCCGGUAGUCC